RNAcentral lists this ribosomal RNA (508 nucleotides) under Clethrobius comes. RNAcentral describes it as "SSU rRNA". It matches the Rfam family "Eukaryotic small subunit ribosomal RNA", at positions 120 to 593 of the family's 1831-position model. The record is from RNAcentral. Lineage: Eukaryota; Metazoa; Arthropoda; Insecta; Hemiptera; Aphididae.
UUAGAUUUUACCCACAUUUACUUGGAUAACUGUGGUAAUUCUAGAGCUAAUACAUGCAAACUAGAAUUCCGACCAGAGAUGGAAGGAAUGCUUUUAUUAGAUCAAAACCAAUCGGUGGUAUAUAAUUUCGGUUAUAUAUCCAUCGUUAAUUUUGAUGACUCUGAAUAACUUUGUGCUGAUCGCAUUGGUCUUUGUACCGGCGACGAAUCUUUCAAAUGUCUGCCUUAUCAACUGUCGAUGGUAGGUUCUGUGCCUACCAUGGUUGUAACGGGUAACGGGGAAUCAGGGUUCGAUUCCGGAGAGGGAGCCUGAGAAACGGCUACCACAUCCAAGGAAGGCAGCAGGCGCGCAAAUUACCCACUCCCAGCACGGGGAGGUAGUGACGAAAAAUAACGAUACGGGACUCAUCCGAGGCCCCGUAAUCGGAAUGAGUACACUUUAAAUCCUUUAAACGAGGAUCCAUUGGAGGGCAAGUCUGGUGCCAGCAGCCGCGGUAAUUCCAGCUCCA